CCCUUCCGGGCGCUCUGGAGCGUCAGCUACCUGCCCGGCGCCGGGGGCACUGUCCCGGAGGGAGAUUUAGGUAUUUGAAAAGGCUCCUAGCUACUGCAAUCCAGCCAAAGACAAUAUGCAAACACAUGCACAUGGCUGUGCUUCAGUGAAACACAUUACAAGGAGCGGAUGGGUGUCCAGCUUCAGCUUCAGCGUGGAUUAAAUACUGCAA
Molecule: non-coding RNA, 211 nt
Organism: Microcebus murinus (gray mouse lemur)
Lineage: Eukaryota; Metazoa; Chordata; Mammalia; Primates; Cheirogaleidae
Source: RefSeq, a predicted model, not a curated record